RNAcentral lists this ribosomal RNA (656 nucleotides) under Tropicoporus linteus. RNAcentral describes it as "eukaryotic LSU rRNA". The stretch from base 234 to 387 matches the Rfam family "5.8S ribosomal RNA". The record is from RNAcentral. Lineage: Eukaryota; Fungi; Basidiomycota; Agaricomycetes; Hymenochaetales; Hymenochaetaceae.
AGGAGAAGGCGUGGGUGUGUUGUUGGUCUUUUGUAAGUAAAUCAGUAGAAAGGUGAAAUCGGGUGAGCUUACUUACCCGGUAGUAAUCUUUUGAACGUCGAAAGCAAAGGUGAAAACGAUCUUCUUUCCUAUUCCUCCGUUCGGGCGAAGGCUUUGGCUUGUGUGUGUUAUUACACAAACACCUUUAAUUGUCUUUGUGAAUGUAUUUGCUCCUUGUGGGCGAAAAUAAAUACAACUUUCAACAACGGAUCUCUUGGCUCUCGCAUCGAUGAAGAACGCAGCGAAAUGCGAUAAGUAAUGUGAAUUGCAGAAUUCAGUGAAUCAUCGAAUCUUUGAACGCACCUUGCGCCCCUUGGUAUUCCGAGGGGCAUGCCUGUUUGAGUGUCAUGUUAAUCUCAAACCGCUAGUCUUUCUUAAUUGAAGGGCUUUGAGGUUUGGACUUGGAGGCUUCAUUGCUGGCGGGGGGUUCCCCUUUCGGGGGACUUUGUCCGGCUCCUCUUAAAUACAUUAGCUGGGCUUUGGCUCGCGUUUACGGUGUAAUAGUUAAUUCCAUUCACCAAGGAACGCUUGCCUUACGAGCCUGCUUCUAAUCGUCCGCAUCGUCGGACAAGGAGCUGUUGUUGCUCCUUCUUGACCCCUUGACCUCAAAUCAGGUA